Non-coding RNA from Pelobates cultripes (western spadefoot toad), 443 nucleotides. The record is from the annotation of a GenBank genome assembly. Lineage: Eukaryota; Metazoa; Chordata; Amphibia; Anura; Pelobatidae.
ACAGUAAGAACAAGUAAGAUGUAGAAUUGUCCAACCAAAUAGGUUGUCUUAUCAAAUGCUAUAGAUUGUUUGUUAAAAAAAAAAAGUCUUGGAUUCUAUUUUGCAAAAAUCUGAAUAUUCAAUAUAUAUAUAGAUAUAAUUAAAGGGACACGAUAGUCACUAGAAUAACUACAGCUUAAUGUAGUGGUUUUGUAGAGUAUAGCAUGUUCCUGCAAGCUUUUUAAUGUAAACUCUGCCUUUUCAUAGAAAAGGUAGUGUUUACAUCACUCCCUAGGGACACCGCCAGUUGCCGUCAGUGGCGGAACCAGGGAGGGGGCAACAGGGCAAUUGCUCCCAACUAAGGAAAAAGUGAGGCCGAGGGUCUCCCAUGCUGGCACAUGCAGGGCUGGCACAAUCCAAAUGCCGGCCCUGCUGUUUGCCUUCAUAGAUCUCCCUCACUGCCC